AGUGAACGCUGGCGGUAGGCCUAACACAUGCAAGUCGAACGGCAGCACAGUAAGAGCUUGCUCUUACGGGUGGCGAGUGGCGGACGGGUGAGGAAUACAUCGGAAUCUACUUUUUCGUGGGGGAUAACGUAGGGAAACUUACGCUAAUACCGCAUCCGACCUAUGGGUGAAAGCAGGGGAUCUUCGGACCUUGCGCGAUUGAAUGAGCCGAUGUCGGAUUAGCUAGUUGGCGGGGUAAAGGCCCACCAAGGCGACGAUCCGUAGCUGGUCUGAGAGGAUGAUCAGCCACACUGGAACUGAGACACGGUCCAGACUCCUACGGGAGGCAGCAGUGGGGAAUAUUGGACAAUGGGCGCAAGCCUGAUCCAGCCAUACCGCGUGGGUGAAGAAGGCCUUCGGGUUGUAAAGCCCUUUUGUUGGGAAAGAAAAGCAGCAGGUUAAUACCCCGCUGUUCUGACGGUACCCAAAGAAUAAGCACCGGCUAACUUCGUG
This 492-nucleotide ribosomal RNA is filed under the name uncultured bacterium. RNAcentral's name for it is "partial 16S ribosomal RNA". It matches the Rfam family "Bacterial small subunit ribosomal RNA", at positions 29 to 507 of the family's 1533-position model. The record is from RNAcentral.